This 253-nucleotide ribosomal RNA is filed under the name uncultured bacterium. Its description in RNAcentral is "partial 16S ribosomal RNA". It matches the Rfam family "Bacterial small subunit ribosomal RNA", at positions 524 to 776 of the family's 1533-position model. The record is from RNAcentral.
UACGUAGGGGGCAAGCGUUGUCCGGAAUCAUUGGGCGUAAAGAGCGUGUAGGCGGCCCGAUAAGUCCGCUGUGAAAGUCCAGGGCUCAACCCUGGGAUGCCGGUGGAUACUGUCGGGCUCGAGUCCGGAAGAGGAGUGUGGAAUUCCUGGUGUAGCGGUGAAAUGCGCAGAUAUCAGGAGGAACACCAAUGGCGAAGGCAGCACUCUGGGACGUGACUGACGCUGAGACGCGAAAGCGUGGAGAGCGAACAGG